UGGUCCUAGCCUUAAAGUCAGUUAUUACUUAAUAUACACAUGCAAGUCUCCGCCUCCCUGUGAAAACGCCCUUUAAACCCCACUAGGGACAAGGAGCUGGUAUCAGGCACAACACUCCGCCCAAGACACCUAGCUAUGCCACACCCACAAGGGACUCCAGCAGUGAUUAAUAUUGAACAUUAGCGACAGCUAGAUUCAGUUAAAGUAAAAAGGGCCGGCAAAUCUGGUGCCAGCCGCCGCGGUUACACCACGUGGCCCAAAUUGACUUGUAUCGGCGUAAAGCGUGAUUUAAGGUAUAACAUAUUGAAGUUAAACUAAAGCUAAGCUGUGACACGCUUGUUUUUAGGAAACCCAAAAACGAAAGUUACUUUAAUUAAUCCAACUUGAACCCACGACAGCUAGGAAACAAACUGGGAUUAGAUACCCCACUAUGCCUAGCCGUAAACUUUUAAUUACAUCUAAACCGCCUGGGAACUACGAGCAAAGCUUAAAACCCAAAGGACUUGACGGUACCCCAUAUCCCCCUAGAGGAGCCUGUCCUAUAAUCGAUAAUCCACGUUUAACCUUACCAUUUUUAGCUUAUCAGCCUGUAUACCUCCGUCGUCAGCUUACCACGUGAGCGAAACCUAGUGAGCUUAAUGCCUCUACACCAAUACGUCAGGUCAAGGUGCAGUAUAUGAAAUGGAAAGAGAUGGGCUACACUUUCUAAUCUAGAAAAUACGAAAAACUAACUAUGAAACCUAGUUGGAAGGCGGAUUUAGUAGUAAAAAGAAACAAUAGAGUUCUUUUUAACCCGGCACUGGGGUGUGUACACACCGCCCGUCACCCUCCUCAAAGCUGAAAAUUAGUGUUUAACAAACAAAAGCAUAAUAGAAGAGGCAAGUCGUAACAUGGUAAGUAUACCGGAAGGUGUGCUUGGAAA
Molecule: non-coding RNA, 922 nt
Filed under: Melanophryniscus devincenzii (Rivera redbelly toad)
Lineage: Eukaryota; Metazoa; Chordata; Amphibia; Anura; Bufonidae
Description: partial 12S ribosomal RNA
Rfam family: Bacterial small subunit ribosomal RNA
Source: RNAcentral